This 496-nucleotide ribosomal RNA is filed under the name uncultured bacterium. RNAcentral's name for it is "partial 16S ribosomal RNA". It matches the Rfam family "Bacterial small subunit ribosomal RNA", at positions 29 to 507 of the family's 1533-position model. The record is from RNAcentral.
AUGCACGCUGGCGGCGUGCCUCAUACAUGCAAGUCGAGCGAACAGACGAGGAGCUUGCUCCUCUGACGUUAGCGGCGGACGGGUGAGUAACACGUGGAUAACCUACCUAUAAGACUGGGAUAACUUCGGGAAACCGGAGCUAAUACCGGAUAAUAUAUUGAACCGCAUGGUUCAAUAGUGAAAGACGGUUUUGCUGUCACUUAUAGAUGGAUCCGCGCCGCAUUAGCUAGUUGGUAAGGUAACGGCUUACCAAGGCGACGAUGCGUAGCCGACCUGAGAGGGUGAUCGGCCACACUGGAACUGAGACACGGCCCAGACUCCUACGGGAGGCAGCAGUAGGGAAUCUUCCGCAAUGGGCGAAAGCCUGACGGAGCAACGCCGCGUGAGUGAUGAAGGUCUUCGGAUCGUAAAACUCUGUUAUUAGGGAAGAACAAAUGUGUAAGUAACUAUGCACGUCUUGACGGUACCUAAUCAGAAAGCCACGGCUAACUACGUG